CGUACACUCCUGCGGGAGGCAGCAGUGGGGAAUAUUGGACAAUGGGCGCAAGCCUGAUCCAGCCAUGCCGCGUGAGUGAUGAAGGCCCUAGGGUUGUAAAGCUCUUUCACCGGUGAAGAUAAUGACGGUAACCGGAGAAGAAGCCCCGGCUAACUUCGUGCCAGCAGCCGCGGUAAUACGAAGGGGGCUAGCGUUGUUCGGAUUUACUGGGCGUAAAGCGCACGUAGGCGGACUAUUAAGUCAGGGGUGAAAUCCCGGGGCUCAACCCCGGAACUGCCUUUGAUACUGGUAGUCUUGAGUUCGAGAGAGGUGAGUGGAAUUCCGAGUGUAGAGGUGAAAUUCGUAGAUAUUCGGAGGAACACCAGUGGCGAAGGCGGCUCACUGGCUCGAUACUGACGCUGAGGUGCGAAAGCGUGGGGAGCAAACAGGAUUAGAUACCCCGGUAGUCCC
This 450-nucleotide ribosomal RNA is filed under the name uncultured organism. Its description in RNAcentral is "partial 16S ribosomal RNA". It matches the Rfam family "Bacterial small subunit ribosomal RNA", at positions 330 to 797 of the family's 1533-position model. The record is from RNAcentral.